UACGGGGGGGGGCAAGCGUUGUUCGGAAUUACUGGGCGUAAAGGGCGUGUAGGCGGCCAACUAAGUCCGACGUGAAAUCCCCAGGCUUAACCUGGGAACUGCGUCGGAUACUGGAUGGCUUGAAUUCGGGAGAGGGAUGCAGAAUUCCAGGUGUAGCGGUGAAAUGCGUAGAUAUCUGGAGGAAUACCGGUGGCGAAGGCGGCAUCCUGGACCGAGAUUGACGCUGAGCGGCGAAAGCUAGGGGAGCAAACGGG
Molecule: ribosomal RNA, 254 nt
Filed under: uncultured bacterium
Lineage: Bacteria
Description: partial 16S ribosomal RNA
Rfam family: Bacterial small subunit ribosomal RNA
Source: RNAcentral